Molecule: ribosomal RNA, 490 nt
Filed under: Clostridioides difficile
Lineage: Bacteria; Bacillati; Bacillota; Clostridia; Peptostreptococcales; Peptostreptococcaceae
Description: bacterial SSU rRNA
Rfam family: Bacterial small subunit ribosomal RNA
Source: RNAcentral
GUGGUUUAAUUCGAAGCAACGCGAAGAACCUUACCUAAGCUUGACAUCCCAAUGACAUCUCCUUAAUCGGAGAGUUCCCUUCGGGGACAUUGGUGACAGGUGGUGCAUGGUUGUCGUCAGCUCGUGUCGUGAGAUGUUGGGUUAAGUCCCGCAACGAGCGCAACCCUUGUCUUUAGUUGCCAUCAUUAAGUUGGGCACUCUAGAGAGACUGCCAGGGAUAACCUGGAGGAAGGUGGGGAUGACGUCAAAUCAUCAUGCCCCUUAUGCUUAGGGCUACACACGUGCUACAAUGGGUAGUACAGAGGGUUGCCAAGCCGUAAGGUGGAGCUAAUCCCUUAAAGCUACUCUCAGUUCGGAUUGUAGGCUGAAACUCGCCUACAUGAAGCUGGAGUUACUAGUAAUCGCAGAUCAGAAUGCUGCGGUGAAUGCGUUCCCGGGUCUUGUACACACCGCCCGUCACACCACGGGAGUUGGAGACGCCCGAAGCCGA